GUGUCUGCUUUGGCAACACAUAUACUAAAAUUGGAAAGAUACAGAGAAGAUUAGCAUACAUACAUACUACACACCUCAUACAUAGAAGAAUACAAAUUUAUU
RNAcentral lists this small nuclear RNA (102 nucleotides) under Dipodomys ordii (Ord's kangaroo rat). The record is from RNAcentral. Lineage: Eukaryota; Metazoa; Chordata; Mammalia; Rodentia; Heteromyidae.